CGGUAACCUGCCCUAUGGUCGAGCAUAACCUCGGGAAACUGAGGGUAAUUCUCGAUAGAAGAUUCUUCCUGGAAUGGUGUUUCUUCCAAACACGUGCCAUAGGAUGGGCCGGCGGCUGAUUAGGCUGUUGGUGGGGUAACGGCCCACCAAACCUAUGAUCAGUACGGGCCUUGAGAGAGGUAGCCCGGAGAGGGACACUGAGAUACGGGUCCCAGCCCCACGGGGUGCAGCAGGCGCGAAACCUUUACAAUGCACGAAAGUGUGAUAGGGGGAUACUCAGUGCUUACGGUUAUGCUGUAGGCUUUUGUCGAUCGUAAAUAGAUCGGCGAAUAAGUGGUGGGUAAGACUGGUGCCAGCCGCCGCGGUAACCCCAGCGCCACAAGUGGUCAUCGCGAUUAUUGGGCCUAAAGCGUUCGUAGCCGGUUUGGUGCAUCUCUUGUGAAAUUGUUCGGCUUAACCGAACAGCGUGCAGGAGACACGGCCAGACUCGAGACCGGGAGGCGUAUGAAGUAUUCCAUGGGGACUGGUAAAAUGGGAUAAUCCAUGGAAGACUACCGAUGGCGAAGGCAUCAUACGAGAACGGAUCUGACGGUGAGGAACGAAAGCUAGGGGAGCGAACCGGAUUAGAUACCCGAGUAGUCCUAGCCGUAAACGCUGCGAGCAAGGUGUCGCGCAUCUCACGAAGAUGCGCGGUGUCGAAACGAAGGUGAUAAGCUCGCCGCCUGGGAAGUACGGUCGCAAGACUGAAACUUUAAGGGAAUUGGCGGGGGCGCACUACAAGGGGUGCGGCGUGCGGUUUAAUCCAACUCAACGCGGAGCACCUUACUAGGGGCGACGGCAGGGAUGAAGAUCGUGCUGAAGACACUAUCAGACGAGCCCG
This 880-nucleotide ribosomal RNA is filed under the name uncultured euryarchaeote. Its description in RNAcentral is "bacterial SSU rRNA". It matches the Rfam family "Archaeal small subunit ribosomal RNA", at positions 102 to 982 of the family's 1478-position model. The record is from RNAcentral. Lineage: Archaea; Methanobacteriati; Methanobacteriota.